This 459-nucleotide ribosomal RNA is filed under the name uncultured bacterium. RNAcentral describes it as "partial 16S ribosomal RNA". It matches the Rfam family "Bacterial small subunit ribosomal RNA", at positions 338 to 795 of the family's 1533-position model. The record is from RNAcentral.
CCUACGGGUGGCAGCAGUGAGGAAUAUUGGUCAAUGGGCGCGAGCCUGAACCAGCCAAGUCGCGUGAGGGAAGACGGUUCUAUGGAUUGUAAACCUCUUUUGUCGGGGAGCAAAAGACGCCACGCGUGGCGUUCCGAGAGUACCCGAAGAAAAAGCAUCGGCUAACUCCGUGCCAGCAGCCGCAGUAAUACUGAGGAUGCGAGCGUUAUCGGGUUUUAUUGGGUUAAAGGGGUGGGCAGGCGGAAGAUCAAGUCAGCGGUAAAAUUGAGAGGCUCAACCUCUUCGAGCCGUUGAAACUGGUUGUCUUGAGUGAGCGAGAGGUAUGCGGAAGGCGUGGUGUAGCGGUGAAAUGCAUAGAUAUCACGCAGAACUCCGAUUGCGAAGGCAGCAUACCGGCGCUCAACUGACGCUCAUGCACGAAAGUGUGGGUAUCGAACAGGAUUAGAUACCCGAGUAGUC